AACCUAGCACACCUGCGGUGUGUACCUGCGGAGGGAUCAUUACCGAGUUUACAACUCCCAAACCCCUGUGAACAUACCUAUACGUUGCCUCGGCGGAUCAGCCCGCGCCCCGUAAAACGGGACGGCCCGCCCGAGGACCCCUAAACUCUGUUUUUAGUGGAACUUCUGAGUAAAACAAACAAAUAAAUCAAAACUUUUAACAAUGGAUCU
RNAcentral lists this unclassified non-coding RNA (210 nucleotides) under soil metagenome. RNAcentral describes it as "partial contains 5.8S ribosomal RNA, internal transcribed spacer 2, and large subunit ribosomal RNA". The record is from RNAcentral.